CGGGGGAGCCGGGUGAUCGCCCCGGUGGGCCGCAAGGUCACACCGGGGAGGAAAGUCCGGACUCCCAGGGCAGCGCGCUCGCCGAACUCUCAUCUGCGGAUGGGGGAACGAGGCGAGGCCCCGAGGGCAACAUCCUUCGGGGACGGACAGUGCCACAGAGAAGGAACCGCCUCGCGGCUCGGUCCGGAAACGGAUGCGCCCCCGGAAAGACCGGGGGCGACGCCGAAGGUAAGGGUGAAAAGGUGGGGUAAGAGCCCACCGGGCCGAUGGCGACAUCGGCCGCACGGAAAACCCCGCGCGGAGCAAGACCAAAUAGGGGAGGAGGGCUGGCCCGGCCCGUGGCCAUACGGCCGUGACUCCCGGGUAGGUCGCCCAGAGGAAUGAUCACCCUCCGGGCCAGCGCAAGCGGGCUCCGGGGACAGAAUCCGGCUUACAGGCUCCUCCGCCAC
RNAcentral lists this RNase P RNA (449 nucleotides) under Acidobacteriota bacterium. Its description in RNAcentral is "Acidobacteria bacterium (groundwater metagenome) RNase P RNA component class A". It matches the Rfam family "Bacterial RNase P class A". From Rfam's summary of the family: Ribonuclease P (RNase P) is a ubiquitous endoribonuclease, found in archaea, bacteria and eukarya as well as chloroplasts and mitochondria. Its best characterised activity is the generation of mature 5'-ends of tRNAs by cleaving the 5'-leader elements of precursor-tRNAs. The record is from RNAcentral. Lineage: Bacteria; Pseudomonadati; Acidobacteriota.